Molecule: ribosomal RNA, 191 nt
Filed under: Ixodes scapularis (black-legged tick)
Lineage: Eukaryota; Metazoa; Arthropoda; Arachnida; Ixodida; Ixodidae
Description: eukaryotic large subunit ribosomal RNA
Rfam family: Eukaryotic large subunit ribosomal RNA
Source: RNAcentral
UGCUAAACGCAAACCAGCUCGGAGACGAUGAUGCGAACCCCAAAAAGAGGCUUUUUUUUCUCUGUAAAUGCAAGGAGAUCGAGUCCCUGGAAUGGCUUCGUCCCGAGAUAGGGAUGGUGGCUCCGUAGAGGAGUGCGGCUCUUGCGCUGUCCGGUGCGUCCGCGUCGGCCCUUGAAACUCCGAUAGAGAGA